UUCCUACGGGGGGCAGCAGUAGGGAAUUUUCGUCAAUGGGCGCAAGCCUGAACGAGCAAUGCCGCGUGAGGGAGGAAGGUACAGAGUAUCGUAAACCUCUUUUGUCAGGGAACAAAGGCGGGGACGUGUCCCCGGAUGAGUGUACCUGAAGAAAAAGCAUCGGCUAACUCCGUGCCAGCAGCCGCGGUAAUACGGAGGAUGCGAGCGUUAUCCGGAUUUAUUGGGUUUAAAGGGUGCGCAGGCGGUCUGUUAAGUCAGCGGUCAAAGCCCGGGGCUCAACCCCGGCCCGCCGCUGAAACUGGCAG
Molecule: ribosomal RNA, 305 nt
Filed under: uncultured bacterium
Lineage: Bacteria
Description: bacterial SSU rRNA
Rfam family: Bacterial small subunit ribosomal RNA
Source: RNAcentral